This 75-nucleotide non-coding RNA is filed under the name Attheya septentrionalis. The record is from RNAcentral. Lineage: Eukaryota; Bacillariophyta; Biddulphiophyceae; Attheyales; Attheyaceae.
CUAGGCUGCUUCUAGAGAGUAGAAAGGACAGGAUACCACUUUUUAUUGUUUCUUUUUUGUUUCGUUUAUAUUGGA